Scophthalmus maximus (turbot) is the source of this 2806-nucleotide long non-coding RNA. RefSeq lists it as uncharacterized. The transcript is spliced from 3 exons. NCBI's taxonomy places the organism in Eukaryota, Metazoa, Chordata, Actinopteri, Pleuronectiformes, Scophthalmidae. The record is from RefSeq and is a predicted model, not a curated record.
AUUAUCAAAGCCACAUUCCUCAGAGGUUGAGAAGGAGGAGCGACGCAAUGACAAAUGUGUUGUUAUUGAGAAUACAGAGCCCCGUUCACAGGAGAAGUCCACGCAGUCGCACAUUCAAAACUCCUUCGGCGCUAUCGCAGAGAGCUAAUACGAAACAGACGAAGACACACUGACAUGACCUCAGCAGAAAUGUCGACGGAGGGUGUGAUUUUUCUGGUGCAGCGUUGGGCCCACGACGUCAUUUCCCACGUCUGAGUCAAAGUGGGACACUGGCCGUGAGACUAAAGAUACAGCGUUGUGUAAAUAAAGCUUGCUGCGCGAUGCCAACUUUAGAUUCCCACUCAUCAGCGAGACGUCGUGAAAGGUCCCUCAGUUCCAGCCCGCCGGCAUUCACGCUGCAAACAGAACCACGGUGACGUAUUCACCACACACUGGUGUGCACUCGGCAAACUACACACAUCACCUGUGCGUGUGUGUGUGUACUCCUACGUGUGUGGCCGCCGUGUUGCCUUGACAACCUGCUGCCGUUUCCCUUUUUGCUUGCCCUUGGAGCCGAGGGCCGAUUCACACCAACGCAGGAGCAGGAGUCGGAUCAGAGGGAGGACGGACGCCGGGCGUCGGCCCCCGGGCCUUUCAUCGGCGCCACUCGAGGGAACGACACCCACGGCUCUCCCACCUGCUUCUCACCUGUCAGGCAGCGUGUGUGGUCCGAUGGUGCUGAUAUGUCCACGGGGAGGGAAGAAGGAAAUGUUGCCUCAUCUCAGAGAGUGGUUGAGCUGCUAAACAGAUUCAAUCAGGCGGGACAUCGUGACUGCCAAACCAAUAUCAGAUGAUUGGGGGCCCUGACAGCUCCGAGGCCCGUUGCCAAGGUUUGGAUGCAUCGUUGGGGACUCUCCAGGAAGAGGAGCGGCGCGACAAAGGUCACCGCGGCAGAACCGCUUGAAGUCGUUUUGCGUAGGACUCCCCCGAGAUCCCCCGUGCGAUAUGACUCACGGCCGUGGCAGCGAGAUGUGGCGCGUUGCACUGAGCCGCGGCAUCGCCGGCCUGCAGUCGUUUCAGGGCGCGGAGUGAUAAUAAGAUCAUAUAUUCUGUCCAAUUCACUGCGCUUAUCUCUGUCUCUCUCUAUCCAUCACGCUCCCAUCCAUGGCAAUCCUCUCUGACCCUUUUUUUGUUUUGUUGUCCUCCAAUCUGACGGCCACCAGUCUCCUUCAGUCACAUCCUCUCUCCUGUAAUUCCCCUCACUAUCUCAGCCGGCAGGUCUCCCUCUUUCCUGCCUGGGUGACCGCUGUCCCAGCGAGGAGGGAGCGAUGGGACGGCGGCAGCAGAGCGGAGGGGAGGAGGUUGAGGGACAGAAAACAGGGAGCAGUGAAAGUGGUGCAGAGGACGGAGGGAGGGAGGGAGGGACGAGUGUCCCAGACGUGCCACCAGGCUGUACACAUUCCUCAGGGGCUGUGCAUCCUGUUCCUUCGUCCCCACCUCCAUCACACUCACCACGCUGCACGUACACAGGCCUCACACCCUCCAGACCCUGCACCUCCACCCACAAUGGUGCCCACUCUUCCUCCGGCGAAAUGCUCCCCACAGGACAGGAAAUGGUGACUCUCUCUUUCUCUCUGUUUGUUCUGCACGCCGCUCGCUGCAGAAUAAGCGCAUGUAUAUUAUGAAGUCUAAUCCUGCAGGACAUUCUGACAGUUCCGGUUAUUGGUAUUUUCAACAAGAUUUGGAUGAUUGAACAAUGAAGUCUGAGUUACGAAUCUGUUACAAUAGAUGAAUGAUUCCCAGCUUACUACCAGUACUUCCAUCCCGUUGAUUUUUCUUUCAUCAUGAGUGAAGCAUAUGUUUGGGCUCAUCUGUGUCGCCCGCGGCAACAUUGGCAUACUGUAAUUUCUCCUCCGAUUCAGUCCAGUCCCGGUCACUCUGGGUUAUUCACAGAGUUUGUUGUGCACAGUUGUCAAAGCAACUAUUUCUUGCGGCAGAAACUAUUUGCGAGGGGAAUUGUUUGCAGUUAGACCUGUGACGGGAGUAAAAUGGUUUUUGAAUGCUGAGGAGUUUUUUAUCUUUUUUAUUUCAGCCCCUGCGAUGAAAUUUAAUUCUGUAAUAAGAAGUGCAUUUUUGUCGAAUUAGUCAUUUUAGGUUUUCAACUUGCAUGUGAAAAUGUUCCAUGUAACCAAUAUACAAUUAGCCUUGCAGUUAUUUCAACCAAGCAUGAAAUAAUAAGCCACUCCUCCAACACAGGGAUGUUGUGUUAUGUGUAAUCAACUACACACUAAUUAUAACCACUGUCAAUCGUUACAGAAUGUUCACUAAUGACAACAUGGGCUUGUUCAAACUGGGAUUUUGGACGAUGGGUAGCUAGUUAAAUCUUAUCUGUAACUAUUCAUUGAAACCUAUAAUCUAUCAAGGUGUUAAAGGCACAAGCCAAUCUUUCAAAAAAACACUCCAUUCCAAAGACACGCCGCCCUGUUACUCGUUGCUGCGUUUGAAAGUAGAGCGCACAGAGUUUCUGUGCGGUGAAAUGUGCUUUAUGAAUAAAAUUACAACUGUGUGGGCACUAUGGUUCCUUCCACGGAGCAGAGGAGCUUCUGUUCCUUUCUCGGGUACGAGAAUAGACUCUAACCCAUUUAGUCUCGGUUGCAGACUCUGAUGGAGGAACAGGACAUACAAGUUCAUUUAUCAUGCCGGGAGCGGCCAUUAAGAAGCAGCGCGGGACAUGAUGUCAAAGUAGGAUGGGUGCGCUGAUUCAUCGCCAGUUGUCAUUUUUGGCAAACGGGCGGAAUUUUUUGUCAUUGUGUGGCCUAAUUGUUUG